UCUAUACAUGCAGUAGAACGCUGAAGAGAGGAGCUUGCUCUUCUUGGAUGAGUUGCGAACGGGUGAGUAACGCGUAGGUAACCUGCCUUGUAGCGGGGGAUAACUAUUGGAAACGAUAGCUAAUACCGCAUAACAAUGGAUGACACAUGUCAUUUAUUUGAAAGGGGCAAUUGCUCCACUACAAGAUGGACCUGCGUUGUAUUAGCUAGUAGGUGAGGUAACGGCUCACCUAGGCGACGAUACAUAGCCGACCUGAGAGGGUGAUCGGCCACACUGGGACUGAGACACGGCCCAGACUCCUACGGGAGGCAGCAGUAGGGAAUCUUCGGCAAUGGGGGCAACCCUGACCGAGCAACGCCGCGUGAGUGAAGAAGGUUUUCGGAUCGUAAAGCUCUGUUGUAAGUCAAGAACGAGUGUGAGAGUGGAAAGUUCACACUGUGACGGUAGCUUACCAGAAAGGGACGGCUAACUACGUGCCAGCAGCCGCGGUAAUACGUAGGUCCCGAGCGUUGUCCGGAUUUAUUGGGCGUAAAGCGAGCGCAGGCGGUUUGAUAAGUCUGAAGUUAAAGGCUGUGGCUCAACCAUAGUUCGCUUUGGAAACUGUCAAACUUGAGUGCAGAAGGGGAGAGUGGAAUUCCAUGUGUAGCGGUGAAAUGCGUAGAUAUAUGGAGGAACACCGGUGGCGAAAGCGGCUCUCUGGUCUGUAACUGACGCUGAGGCUCGAAAGCGUGGGGAGCGAACAGGAUUAGAUACCCUGGUAGUCCACGCCGUAAACGAUGAGUGCUAGGUGUUGGAUCCUUUCCGGGAUUCAGUGCCGCAGCUAACGCAUUAAGCACUCCGCCUGGGGAGUACGACCGCAAGGUUGAAACUCAAAGGAAUUGACGGGGGGCCCGCACAAGCGGUGGAGCAUGUGGUUUAAUUCGAAGCAACGCGAAGAACCCUUACCAG
RNAcentral lists this ribosomal RNA (948 nucleotides) under Streptococcus salivarius. RNAcentral's name for it is "bacterial SSU rRNA". It matches the Rfam family "Bacterial small subunit ribosomal RNA", at positions 48 to 977 of the family's 1533-position model. The record is from RNAcentral. Lineage: Bacteria; Bacillati; Bacillota; Bacilli; Lactobacillales; Streptococcaceae.